GACGAACGCUGGCGGCGUGCUUAACACAUGCAAGUCGAACGAAAAGGCCCUACUUUUGUUGGGUGCUCGAGUGGCGAACGGGUGAGUAACACGUGAGUAACCUGCCCUUGACUUGGGGAUAACUUCUGGAAACUAGGGCUAAUACCGGAUAGCAUCUCCUGCUGCCUGGUUUUGGUUAGAAAAUUUCUGUCGUUGGGGAUGGAUUCGCCGCUUAUCUGCUUGUUUGUGGGGUAGUGGCUUACCCAGGGUGUGACGGAUUGGCGGCCUGAGAGGGUGACCGGCCACAUAGGGACGGAGAGACGGACCAGACUCCUACGUGAGGCAGCAGUGGGGAAUAUUGCACAAUGGGCGGAAGCCUGACGGAGCAACGCCGGGUGCGGGAUGACGGCCUUCGGGUUGUAAACCGCUUUCGCCUGUGACGAAGCGUGAGUGACGGUAAUGGGUAAAGAAGCACCGGCUAACUACGUG
Molecule: ribosomal RNA, 468 nt
Filed under: uncultured bacterium
Lineage: Bacteria
Description: partial 16S ribosomal RNA
Rfam family: Bacterial small subunit ribosomal RNA
Source: RNAcentral